RNAcentral lists this ribosomal RNA (97 nucleotides) under Microcebus murinus (gray mouse lemur). The record is from RNAcentral. Lineage: Eukaryota; Metazoa; Chordata; Mammalia; Primates; Cheirogaleidae.
GUCUACGGCCAUACCACCCUGAACGCACCCAGUCUUGUCUGAUCUUGGCAGCUAAGCAGGGUCAGGCCUGCUGAGUACUUGGAUGGGAGAUGAGACU